UCAGAAGUGACUUGUGCUGAAAUCGGAUUGAAAACAGAAGAUCUAGAAUUUUCUAUUGGAAAUGGGACAGAUAAAUUAGCAGAAAAUGCACAGUCUCAGAAAAUUAUGAAAAUUGGAGGAUAAGUUAGAAAUAUUUUUAUGAGGCUAGAUUUAAAGUUUCAUAUUUUUCUGACACCCGUAGAGUGAGAAAUAAAAUCCGACAGCUAUCUGAUAAAGAUUACAGUUCGGUACAGUUUUCAGUGACCAAACGGGGUCGAAACUGAACCAGCGAUCGUCAACUUGUUAAGUUAAGUAAAACCGAACAUGACUGUCAAGUUUGAGCUCAAACGGACAUUCAGGGAGCUCCGGCGAAAGUAUCAGAUUUCAGGCUGCCCGGGAGUGAAUAGUGUUGUGGUGUUGACUAAAGAGGAGUGUUGACUCCUCUUCUUCUCCUUCAGCCGCACACACCCCACACACACACACGCGCAUGGAGGGGGAGGGAAACCCUCCCUUCUCUCUCUAGAGAUCUCUCUCAUCUCUCUAAAUCUCUCUCUAAAAAUUGGAGGGUUGGUGGAGAAGAUGCUUGCGAACGCAUUGGAGGCGACGGAUCGAGCUUUCGUGCGCCCGUUAGAGCGGCGUAUUUUCGUCGCGGCGUUCACAUUGAGGUAAGCUUUUGGGAUUUGGCUUAAUCCUUAGUUUUAAGUGUUCUAAUAGCCUCUAAUGAGCAUUCUAAACAUGUUUGCUCUAUUUAAUUUGGAUUAUUUAGAGGUUAAUUGCAUGUUAGGGCUCCGAAUGGGGUUUUGUAAAAUGUAUGGGUUUGAUCUCAUUUGACCCUCCGUAAACCAAAUUGCUAGGUAAACGAACGCGUUGGCGAAGACGGUUCGGCAAUCCGACGAGCCGUUACAAAGUUAUUAAAGAAAUAGACGUUUAGGCUUCGGGUCCGCCGGGAGGGCCGAGGCGACAUCGUAAAAUCAUGAAAAUGGAUUUGAAGCAUCGUGGCACAUAACCGAAGACCUUUAAUUUUCGGAUCGUGAAUUGGAGGCCGUUCGGGUGGUCGCGCAAGAGAUCGGGUCAAACCGGGUGCCGGGUGCCGCGGGCGGCCGAUUGCAAGUGUCGACAAGCGAUCGGAAUGCGAAAUGAGGUGGGUUGUGCUUACCGAAGCGACUAGGUCGCCUUUAUGUCUAGAAAUGGGAUUUCAUAUUGAUGCAUAUUGACAUAAUAUAAGAAUGUAAAAGGAAUGCAUGUUAACAUACUAUAGAAAUGCUAGAUAAAUGCAUAUGAUUAAUGCUUUGAAUGCAUAAUAUAAAGGGCGUAUGAAUGUUAGCAUUAUAAGAACAUCAUAAAAGGAAUGUAUGAUGACAUGUUGUAGAAUAUGCUAAAUGUAAUGCAUAAUGAAUUAAGUGCUAAAAGAAUGCAUGAGAUGCUAAGUAUGGACUAUUUUGGAUAAUGACUAUAUGUAUGUUGACAAAUCAUGUGAUGCUUGUGGCAUAUGUGCAUGAUGAUAUAUUAUGAAUUUACAUAUUGUGGAUUAUGUUAAAUAGAAAAACAUACUUGAUGACAUAUUGCCAUGUUGUGGAACAUAGUGGACAAUCUAUAUAUAUAUAUUAGAUCGAGUGGCAUUAAACCUAGCAUCUUGAACCUAGCAAACACUUGUGGUGAUUGAUCAUAUAUAUUCUGGUGUCAUUCAUGUAUGUUAGGACCCUAUUAUUGUGUAAAUAUGAGAGUUGGACUUGAACAUUAGUAAACAAGGGUGACAAUGACAAUAGAGACAUGAUUGGCAUCAAGAAAGUGAUUGUUAAACAUAGUUUAACCAUAUUGACAUUGGUCCAAGUUGACAUAGAGAGUGGCAUGAUUAAAUAGGUAGAGACCUAUCAUGACAUUGGCAUUGUGACGAGUGGCUAUGAAUCCUCAAGUUGAGGAUUGGAUCGAUACUCACGUUACGUCUUGGCUUGAGGGAGGUAGCUCCUCCUCGGGCGGUGCGCUCCGGAGUUGGUCACCACUGGGCGUGGUAAGGUCCCCCCAGAUGACGGUCCCCAGGGAGGUUCGAGUCCCCCGUUAUUAAGGAAUUUUGGUAGUGAGUUAUUGGGGUUAACAUGGUUAACCGGUAAGAUUGGGUCAUAGCCAAAUGAGUGUACAACAAGUAUACAUUAUGAGUUAUGGAUUUGGUAUCCUAGUCGAGAGGAUUUAGGGCUGAGGUGUAUUGAGACGUCCAUCGCCUCGAGCCUGGUUCUAGUACGGUACUCCGCAGACGAUUGACUCAAGACCGAGUCGGGUGGUUAGCCUUGUAAAGGUAGAUGAAACUUUAUGAUUAAAACGGUGAUUGACAAGAAUCUAAGAUAGAGGAAACCUUAGAUAUCGAAUGGAUGAGCUAUGGUUAGCAGAUUUGAAAGUAGUGUCAAAUGAACUACUAGUUGGUUGGCAUAGUUACAUUAUUGCAUGAUUUGCAUAUAGCAUUGCAUUAUUGCAUUCGUAAGGCAAUGCAUGGUUUUAUUCGUUGCAUAAUCAAGAUAUAUAUCUAUCUGUUUAUUGAACUAACUUGCAGUUGCCUCCCUUGGACCUAUUGGUCGAGCUCUUCCCUUGGGUGGCCGUACCCACUGGGAACCAUGGAGUUGGUUCUCACCCCACGUGGUUUUGGGGUGUUACAGGUUCGCACGUGAGCGGCGCGGCGGCGCGAGGC
Molecule: long non-coding RNA, 2656 nt
Filed under: Ananas comosus (pineapple)
Lineage: Eukaryota; Viridiplantae; Streptophyta; Magnoliopsida; Poales; Bromeliaceae
Description: long non-coding RNA (ACOM_LNC037546)
Source: RNAcentral